Molecule: non-coding RNA, 193 nt
Organism: Oryza glaberrima (African rice)
Lineage: Eukaryota; Viridiplantae; Streptophyta; Magnoliopsida; Poales; Poaceae
Source: Rfam
UUUAAAUACAGUAGUGAGUUUCUAUGUCUGACGUUUGACCAUUGUCUUAUUUAAAAUUUAUUUAUAAUUAGUAUUUUCAUUAUUAUUAGAUAAUAAAACAUAAAGAGUACUUUACUUAUUUAAUUUUUUAAUUAAAUCUUAAAUAAAACAUACGGUUAAAUAUUGUACACGAAAACAUUCGAUUACAAUUAAA